This 341-nucleotide long non-coding RNA is filed under the name Hordeum vulgare. Its description in RNAcentral is "long non-coding RNA (HVUL_LNC006849)". Lineage: Eukaryota; Viridiplantae; Streptophyta; Magnoliopsida; Poales; Poaceae. The record is from RNAcentral.
AACGGGUACUCCUGCUAGAGACCAUGUCUAAAAUGAUGUUUGUCAAAGGUCAUUUGCAUAUGGUUAGCUUAUGGCCAAUCCUGAUGAGUUACCUUGGUAAAUACACGAUAUGCCGAAGUGAAGAAACCUUGAAGCUUAAAGGAUGUAUCAACAUAAUAAGAGCAUCCAUGCUACCACUUUGAGAUGAAUACUUGCACAUCCCACAAGUUGGAGAUAGGUUGAUAUGAAUUCUUCAAUGGGGAGAUACAGGAGUUCACCUUUUUUAUCCUUUUUACCUAGGAGAGAGCAGUAGUUAGUGUUGGUAACUUGUGAUACCUUCAUAGCUUGUUAUUGAACUUGUG